Molecule: ribosomal RNA, 253 nt
Filed under: uncultured bacterium
Lineage: Bacteria
Description: partial 16S ribosomal RNA
Rfam family: Bacterial small subunit ribosomal RNA
Source: RNAcentral
UACGGGGGGGGCAAGCGUUGUUCGGAAUUACUGGGCGUAAAGGGCUCGUAGGCGGCCAACUAAGUCAGACGUGAAAUCCCUCAGCUUAACUGGGGAACUGCGUCUGAUACUGGAUGGCUUGAGUUUGGGAGAGGGAUGCGGAAUUCCAGGUGUAGCGGUGAAAUGCGUAGAUAUCAGGAGGAACACCGGUGGUGAAGACGGCUUACUGGACCACGACUGACACUGAGGCACGAAAGCGUGGGUAGCAAACAGG